This 253-nucleotide ribosomal RNA is filed under the name uncultured bacterium. Its description in RNAcentral is "partial 16S ribosomal RNA". It matches the Rfam family "Bacterial small subunit ribosomal RNA", at positions 524 to 776 of the family's 1533-position model. The record is from RNAcentral.
UACGUAGGCAGCAAGCGUUGUUCGGAAUUACUGGGCGUAAAGAGUGUGUAGGCGGUGCUCUAAGUUCGGUGUGAAAUCUCCCGGCUCAACUGGGAGGGUGCGCCGAAAACUGGAGUGCUGGAGCGCGGGAGAGGAAAGCGGAAUUCCUGGUGUAGCGGUGAAAUGCGUAGAUAUCAGGAAGAACACCGGCGGUGUAGACGGCUUUCUGGACCGUAGCUGACGCUGAGACACGAAAGCGUGGGUAGCAAACAGG